Molecule: non-coding RNA, 585 nt
Organism: Chiloscyllium plagiosum (whitespotted bambooshark)
Lineage: Eukaryota; Metazoa; Chordata; Chondrichthyes; Orectolobiformes; Hemiscylliidae
Source: RefSeq, a predicted model, not a curated record
GUUCGUGAUCCACUCUAUAAAGACGCUGCGGCCGUGUAUGGCUUCAGUUUGAUACGUUUUCCCCCAACCUGAGCUGUGGAAAGAUGAGCUAGGUCCUGCCUAUCUCCUCGGGCUAGAGAAGAGCGGGAAGUAUAGCUGUAUGGUUGGAUAUAUACCUCGGGCCGAGUGGUCUGUGCCAGGAGGUUUCCAUGGAGAGGCUAAGGAAAUUCCACAUCCAUAGUAUGGACCAUAGAAAGCAUUCUAUCUGGAUGCAUCACGACUGGUAUGGCAACCGAUCUGCCUCGGAUUGUAAGAAACUACAAAAGAUUAUGAAUCCAGUUGAGGCCAUUGUGCAAACCAACUUUCCAUCUGUUGACUCCAUCUACACUUCUCCAUGCCUCGGAUGUAACAUCAAAGACUCCACCCACCCUGGUUAUAAGCCCUUCUAACCUCAUUCAGCAGGCAGAAGAUAAAAAGGGUGAAAGAACCGCUUCAAAAAUGUAAAUAACAUUCUUCAAUUUUAUAAUCCUAGAAAACCUGUACAAGGAGGACGGAUUGCACCUAAAUUGGAAGGAGACUAAUAUACUGGCAGGGAAAUUUGAUAGA